Molecule: unclassified non-coding RNA, 204 nt
Filed under: Hevea brasiliensis (rubber tree)
Lineage: Eukaryota; Viridiplantae; Streptophyta; Magnoliopsida; Malpighiales; Euphorbiaceae
Source: RNAcentral
GUUUGCUUAGGAUCUAACGUGGGCCUUCCUGGGCAAAGGUUAGCUUCAGAAGGUCCAGCUUCUUCAGGAGGGGUAUCUUUUUCAUCAAAAACAAGGCAUGUCCCAAUAGUCUCAUCAUACUGUCCAAUCAGCUUGAUUUUACCAUCGAUGGUCAAGAUGGGGUUCAAUGUGUCAAGACCCGAGAGAACGUAUGGUGCAUUUGGG